RNAcentral lists this ribosomal RNA (253 nucleotides) under uncultured bacterium. RNAcentral's name for it is "partial 16S ribosomal RNA". It matches the Rfam family "Bacterial small subunit ribosomal RNA", at positions 524 to 776 of the family's 1533-position model. The record is from RNAcentral.
UACAGAGGUCUCGAGCGUUAGGCGGAAUCACUGGGCUUAAAGCGUGUGUAGGCGGAUUGGUAAGUACUUUGUGAAAUCCCACGGCUUAACCGUGGAACUGCUUGGUAUACUGCCAGUCUUGAGCCAGCUAGGGGCUACCGGAACAAAUGGUGGAGCGGUGAAAUGCGUUGAUAUCUACAGGAACUCCGGUGGCGAAAGCGGCGUGCUGGACCUUUUCUGACGCUGAGGCGCGAAAGCUAGGGGAGCGAACGGG